Long non-coding RNA from Xiphophorus couchianus (Monterrey platyfish), 132 nucleotides. RefSeq lists it as uncharacterized. Lineage: Eukaryota; Metazoa; Chordata; Actinopteri; Cyprinodontiformes; Poeciliidae. The transcript is spliced from 3 exons. The record is from RefSeq and is a predicted model, not a curated record.
CUUGGAGACCGACGGUUUUUCUGUAACAGUAAGUUGUUUCUCCACCAUUAGCACAUUUAGUAGCAAGUACAUGAGAUUGAUCGACAACACUAAGACCCUCAUCCUGGCUCUGAUUGGCUGUUUCUGCAGAAC